RNAcentral lists this non-coding RNA (183 nucleotides) under Evansella cellulosilytica. Lineage: Bacteria; Bacillati; Bacillota; Bacilli; Caryophanales; Bacillaceae. RNAcentral also lists the same sequence under 1 other name. The record is from RNAcentral.
ACAUAUCGUGUAAGAAUUGGUGCCAAACUGCGGUUUGGCUUAAAAGGGAAGAACGGUGUAAUUCCGUCGCUGUCCCGCAACUGUAAAUCGGAGUAACUCACAGUUACCACUGUCUUUGAUGAUGGGAAGGUGUGAGAAGCAUUGAUGAUAAGCCAGGAGACCUGCCAAUUCCUAGUACACACC